GACACGCUGGCGGCGUGCCUAACACAUGCAAGUCGAGCGGGGUUGAGGCGAGAGGUAACUCGAGCUUCUACCUAGCGGCGGACGGGUGAGUAACGCGUGGGCAACCUGCCUCAAGGUUUGGGAUAACAGCCCGAAAGGGCUGCUAAUACCGGAUAUGCCUAUGGCCUCGCAUGGGGCUAUGAGCAAAGGGGAAACCCGCCUUGAGAUGGGCCCGCGUCCCAUCAGCUAGUUGGUGAGGUAACAGCUCACCAAGGCGACGACGGGUAGCCGGCCUGAGAGGGUGACCGGCCACACUGGGACUGAGACACGGCCCAGACUCCUACGGGGGGCAGCAGUGGGGGAUCUUGCACAAUGGGCGAAAGCCUGAUGCAGCGACGCCGCGUGAGCGAAGAAGGCCUUCGGGUUGUAAAGCUCUGUCUGGAGGGACGAACAAAAUGACGGUACCUCCGGAGGAAGCCACGGCUAACUACGUG
RNAcentral lists this ribosomal RNA (473 nucleotides) under uncultured bacterium. Its description in RNAcentral is "bacterial SSU rRNA". It matches the Rfam family "Bacterial small subunit ribosomal RNA", at positions 33 to 507 of the family's 1533-position model. The record is from RNAcentral.